RNAcentral lists this ribosomal RNA (530 nucleotides) under Apus caffer. Its description in RNAcentral is "partial 12S ribosomal RNA". The record is from RNAcentral. Lineage: Eukaryota; Metazoa; Chordata; Aves; Apodiformes; Apodidae.
UUAGUCCUAACCUUACCGUUAAUUCUUGCUAAACAUAUACAUGCAAGUAUCCGCGCUCCAGUGUAAAUGCCCUCGGUACCUUACUAAGGCCCGAGGAGCGGGCAUCAGGCACACCCACAGUCGUAGCCCAAGACGCCUUGCUCAGCCACGCCCCCACGGGUACUCAGCAGUAAUUAACAUUAAGCAAUAAGUGUAAACUUGACUUAGUUAUAGCAAUCCCCAGGGUUGGUCAAUCUUGUGCCAGCCACCGCGGUCACACAAGAAACCCAAAUUAACCGUAAUACGGCGUAAAGCGUGACACUAUGCUAUCCCUCUAACUAGGAUCAAAAUACAAUUAAGCUGUCAUAAGCCCAUGAUGUACCCAAAAUCAACCUGAAAACGAUCCCAGCCCCAACGAUCUAUUAACCGUCACGAAAGCUAGAAUACAAACUGGGAUUAGAUACCCCACUAUGCCUAGCCCUAAAUCUUGAUACUUCCCCCACCAAAGUAUUCGCCCGAGAACUACGAGCACAAACGCUUAAAACUCUAAG